GGAUGAGUGGCGAACGGGUGAGUAACACGUGGGUAAUCUGCCCUGUACUCUGGGAUAAGCCUGGGAAACUGGGUCUAAUACCGGAUAGGACACACUGCCGCAUGGUGGUGUGUGGAAAGCUCCGGCGGUACAGGUUGAGCCCGCGGCCUAUCAGCUUGUUGGUGGGGUGAUGGCCUACCAAGGCGACGACGGGUAGCCGGCCUGAGAGGGUGACCGGCCACACUGGGACUGAGACACGGCCCAGACUCCUACGGGAGGCAGCAGUGGGGAAUAUUGCACAAUGGGCGCAAGCCUGAUGCAGCGACGCCGCGUGGGGGAUGACGGCCUUCGGGUUGUAAACCCCUUUCGCCAGGGACGAAGCGUAAGUGACGGUACCUGGAGAAGAAGCACCGGCCAACUACGUGCCAGCAGCCGCGGUAAUACGUAGGGUGCAAGCGUUGUCCGGAAUUAUUGGGCGUAAAGAGCUCGUAGGCGGUGUGUCACGUCUGCCGUGAAAACCUGCGGCUUAACCGUGGGCGUGCGGUGGAUACGGGCAUCACUUGAGUUCGGUAGGGGAGACUGG
Molecule: ribosomal RNA, 562 nt
Filed under: Saccharomonospora azurea
Lineage: Bacteria; Bacillati; Actinomycetota; Actinomycetes; Pseudonocardiales; Pseudonocardiaceae
Description: bacterial SSU rRNA
Rfam family: Bacterial small subunit ribosomal RNA
Source: RNAcentral